Molecule: unclassified non-coding RNA, 396 nt
Filed under: soil metagenome
Description: partial contains 5.8S ribosomal RNA, internal transcribed spacer 2, and large subunit ribosomal RNA
Rfam family: 5.8S ribosomal RNA (bases 1-122)
Source: RNAcentral
GAUGAAGAACGUAGCGAAAUGCGAUAAGUAGUGUGAAUUGCAGAAUCUCGUGAACCAUCGAGUCUUUGAACGCAAGUUGCGCCCGAAGCCAUUAGGCCGAGGGCACGCCUGCCUGGGUGUCACACACCGUUACCCUCGCGCCAACGUCCAUCGUUGGCCGCGGCGCGGGGCGUGCGCUGACCUCCCGCGAGCGGGGUCUCGUGGUUGGUUGAAAAUCGAGUUCGCGGUCGAGGGUGCCGUGAUGAAAUGGUGGAUGGGCGACGCCCGAGGCCAAUCACGCGCGACUCUGUCCGGCUCGGACUCCUGGACCCCUUCGGCGUCUCCGGACGCUCUUUGGCGAGACCUCAGGUCAGGCGGGGCUACCCGCUGAGUUUAAGCAUAUCAAUAAGCGGAGGA